AUGGAAUUUCUAUUGGAGUGAUAAAAUACGUUGAUAAUAGAAGGAAGAUCUAUGGCGAAGGCAAUUAUCUGGGUAUAUACUGACACUGAGAAACGAAAGCUUGGUUAGCGAACGGGAUUAGAUACCCCGGUAGUCCAUGCUGUAAACGAUGAGUGCUAAUAUUUAGAAUUUUUAGAUAUAACAGCUAACGCGUUAAGCACUCCGCCUGAAAAGUAUAAUCGCAAGAUUGAAAUUCAAAGGAAUUGACGGGAGUCUACACAAGCGGUGGAGCAUGUGGUUUAAUUCGAUAAUACGCGCAGAACCUUACCAACUCUUGCCAAUUUAUAGAUAAAAUUUUUAUCUAUAAAACAGGUGUUGCAUGGCUGUCGUCAGCUCGUGUUGUGAAAUGUUUGGUUAAAUCCUUUAACGAGCGCAACCCUUGUUGUUAGUUGCUAUUUUAUUAUAAAAAAUAAAAGGACUUUAACAAGAAAAUUAAUGAUAGGUUAAUGGAAGGUGGGGAUGACGUCAAGUCUUCAUGGCCCUUAUGAGUUGGGCUACACACGUGCUACAAUGAUAAUUACAAUGAGAGGCAAUAAUGAUUAAGUUGGAGCAAAUCUUUAAAAAUUAUCUUAGUUCAGAUUAGGGGCUGAAACUCGCCCUUAUGAAGUUGGAAUCGCUAGUAAUCGCAAAACAGCAUGUUGCGGUGAAUAUGUUACUGGACUUUGUACACACCGCCCGUCACAUCGGGGAAGUUAAUUGUUUUUAAAGUAAUUUUUAAUUAUUUAAUAAUUUUAAAUAAUUAGUUAAUUAAAUUAAUUAAUUUAUAAUUUUAAUUAAACAAAUUAAAAUUCCUAGAAAGUGGUUAGUAACUUUGAUGAAGUCGUAACAAGGUAGUUGUAGGGGAACCUGUGUCUG
This 894-nucleotide ribosomal RNA is filed under the name Peronospora belbahrii. Its description in RNAcentral is "bacterial SSU rRNA". It matches the Rfam family "Bacterial small subunit ribosomal RNA", at positions 661 to 1520 of the family's 1533-position model. Lineage: Eukaryota; Oomycota; Peronosporomycetes; Peronosporales; Peronosporaceae. The record is from RNAcentral.